GACGAACGCUGGCGGCGUGCUUAACACAUGCAAGUCGAACGGAAAGGCCCUGCUUUUGUGGGGUGCUCGAGUGGCGAACGGGUGAGUAACCCGUUAGUAACCUGCCCUUGACUUUGGGAUAACUUCAGGAAACUGGGGCUAAUACCGGAUAGGAGCUCCUGCUGCAUGGUGGGGGUUGGAAAGUUUCGGCGGUUGGGGAUGGACUCGCGGCUUAUCAGCUUGUUGGUGGGGUAGUGGAUUACCAAGGCUUUGACGGGUAGCCGGCCUGAGAGGGUGACCGGCCACAUUGGGACUGAGAUACGGCCCAGACUCCUACGGGAGGCAGCAGUGGGGAAUAUUGCACAAUGGGCGGAAGCCUGAUGCAGCAACGCCGCGUGCGGGAUGACGGCCUUCGGGUUGUAAACCGCUUUCGCCUGUGACGAAGCGUGAGUGACGGUAAUGGGUAAAGAAGCACCGGCUAACUACGUG
Molecule: ribosomal RNA, 468 nt
Filed under: uncultured bacterium
Lineage: Bacteria
Description: partial 16S ribosomal RNA
Rfam family: Bacterial small subunit ribosomal RNA
Source: RNAcentral